UACGGAGGGUGCAAGCGUUAUCCGGAUUCACUGGGUUUAAAGGGUGCGUAGGUGGGUUGGUAAGUCAGUGGUGAAAUCUCCGGGCUUAACCUGGAAACUGCCAUUGAUACUAUCAAUCUUGAAUACCUUGGAGGUGAGCGGAAUAUGUCAUGUAGCGGUGAAAUGCUUAGAUAUGACAUAGAACACCAAUUGCGAAGGCAGCUCACUACACGGUCAUUGACACUGAGGCACGAAAGCGUGGGGAUCAAACAGGG
RNAcentral lists this ribosomal RNA (254 nucleotides) under uncultured bacterium. RNAcentral describes it as "partial 16S ribosomal RNA". It matches the Rfam family "Bacterial small subunit ribosomal RNA", at positions 524 to 777 of the family's 1533-position model. The record is from RNAcentral.